CAGCCCCUCGAGUGGUGGGGAUGAUUAUUUGGCCUAAAGCGUCCGUAGCCGGCCGUGUAAGUCCCCCGUUAAAUCCAGCGUCUCAAGCGUUGGACUGCGGGAGAUACUGCUCGGCUAGAGAGUGGGAGAGGUGUGCGGUAUUCUGGGGGUAGGGGCGAAAUCCUUUGAUCCCCGGAGGACCACCAGUGGCGAAGGCUGCUGACUAGAACACGUCUGACGGUCAGGGACGAAAGCUGGGGUAGCGAUCCGGAUUAGAUACCCGAGUAGUCC
This 270-nucleotide ribosomal RNA is filed under the name uncultured archaeon. RNAcentral describes it as "partial 16S ribosomal RNA". It matches the Rfam family "Archaeal small subunit ribosomal RNA", at positions 477 to 747 of the family's 1478-position model. The record is from RNAcentral.